RNAcentral lists this ribosomal RNA (353 nucleotides) under uncultured bacterium. Its description in RNAcentral is "bacterial SSU rRNA". It matches the Rfam family "Bacterial small subunit ribosomal RNA", at positions 999 to 1352 of the family's 1533-position model. The record is from RNAcentral.
GCUGGAAACAGUCCUUCCCCUUUGGGGCCGGUUCACAGGUGGUGCAUGGUUGUCGUCAGCUCGUGUCGUGAGAUGUUGGGUUAAGUCCCGCAACGAGCGCAACCCUCGUUCCAUGUUGCCAGCGCGUAAUGGCGGGGACUCAUGGGAGACUGCCGGGGUCAACUCGGAGGAAGGUGGGGACGACGUCAAAUCAUCAUGCCCCUUAUGUCUUGGGCUUCACGCAUGCUACAAUGGCCGGUACAAAGGGUUGCGAUACUGUGAGGUGGAGCUAAUCCCAAAAAGCCGGUCUCAGUUCGGAUUGGGGUCUGCAACUCGACCCCAUGAAGUCGGAGUCGCUAGUAAUCGCAGAUCAG